Molecule: ribosomal RNA, 497 nt
Filed under: uncultured bacterium
Lineage: Bacteria
Description: partial 16S ribosomal RNA
Rfam family: Bacterial small subunit ribosomal RNA
Source: RNAcentral
GAUGAACGCUGGCGGCGUGCCUAAUACAUGCAAGUCGAGCGAACAGACGAGGAGCUUGCUCCUCUGACGUUAGCGGCGGACGGGUGAGUAACACGUGGAUAACCUACCUAUAAGACUGGGAUAACUUCGGGAAACCGGAGCUAAUACCGGAUAAUAUAUUGAACCGCAUGGUUCAAUAGUGAAAGACGGUUUUGCUGUCACUUAUAGAUGGAUCCGCGCCGCAUUAGCUAGUUGGUAAGGUAACGGCCUACCAAGGCAACGAUGCGUAGCCGACCUGAGAGGGUGAUCGGCCACACUGGAACUGAGACACGGUCCAGACUCCUACGGGAGGCAGCAGUAGGGAAUAUUCCGCAAUGGGCGAAAGCCUGACGGAGCAACGCCGCGUGAGUGAUGAAGGUCUUCGGAUCGUAAAACUCUGUUAUUAGGGAAGAACAAAUGAGUAAGUAACUAUGCACGUCUUGACGGUACCUAAUCAGAAAGCCACGGCUAACUACGUG